RNAcentral lists this ribosomal RNA (423 nucleotides) under uncultured bacterium. RNAcentral's name for it is "bacterial SSU rRNA". It matches the Rfam family "Bacterial small subunit ribosomal RNA", at positions 355 to 775 of the family's 1533-position model. The record is from RNAcentral.
UGAGGAAUAUUGGUCAAUGGGCGAGAGCCUGAACCAGCCAAGUCGCGUGAAGGAUGAAGGUUUUAUGAAUUGUAAACUUCUUUUGCAGGGGAAUAAAGUACGGUACGUGUACCGUUUUGUAUGUACUCUGCGAAUAAGGAUCGGCUAACUCCGUGCCAGCAGCCGCGGUAAUACGGAGGAUCCAAGCGUUAUCCGGAUUUAUUGGGUUUAAAGGGUGCGCAGGCGGGUUGAUAAGUCAGCGGUGAAAGUUUGCAGCUUAACUGUAAAAUUGCCGUUGAAACUGUCGAUCUUGAGUGCAAAUGAGGUAAGCGGAAUGUGUUGUGUAGCGGUGAAAUGCUUAGAUAUAACACAGAGCACCGAUUGCGAAGGCAGCUUACUGGGAUGCAACUGACGCUCAUGCACGAAAGCGUGGGGAUCAAACAG